RNAcentral lists this unclassified non-coding RNA (154 nucleotides) under uncultured Phaeosphaeriaceae. RNAcentral describes it as "partial internal transcribed spacer 2". Lineage: Eukaryota; Fungi; Ascomycota; Dothideomycetes; Pleosporales; Phaeosphaeriaceae. The record is from RNAcentral.
GUACCUUCAAGCUUUGCUUGGUGUUGGGUGUUUUGUCCUUUUCUUGCAAAUGGACUCGCCUUAAAGUAAUUGGCAGCCAGUGUUUUGGUUUUGAAGCGCAGCACAAGUCGCGAUUCAAGCCGGUAACACCAGCUUCCAUCAAGCCUUUUAUCAC